AAUAGUCUCUCUUUUCUCAUCACCAACACAUAACACACACACUUUUGAGGUCUUUAGGGUUGUAGCUUGGCUUGGGUUAGGGUAUGGAUUCAUAAAAAAAAAGGAAAACAAGGGGCUUUUGGCUCAGAGUCGAUGUUAUAUCCUGUGUUUUUUUCUUUUAUUUCCUCGGUUUUCUUUUCUUAUUUCUUGAAUUUUUACCGACUACCCUUUUUCGUGCUUCUUUCUUUUGAAUCAUCAAGUAUUUGAUUUUUAUUUUUCUUUCUUUUUCUCGAUUCAUCACUUUUUCUUUUUUUCUUGUUUUUGCACUUUCUAGGGCUUUGAGAGCUUUUGGGAUUUUUUACCCCAAACUUAGCUUUUCAACACAGUUGGAAUAUAU
RNAcentral lists this long non-coding RNA (376 nucleotides) under Lathyrus oleraceus (garden pea). RNAcentral describes it as "Pisum sativum (pea) long non-coding RNA (PSAT_LNC031521)". Lineage: Eukaryota; Viridiplantae; Streptophyta; Magnoliopsida; Fabales; Fabaceae. The record is from RNAcentral.